Molecule: long non-coding RNA, 1360 nt
Organism: Magnolia sinica
Lineage: Eukaryota; Viridiplantae; Streptophyta; Magnoliopsida; Magnoliales; Magnoliaceae
Exons: 3
Source: RefSeq, a predicted model, not a curated record
ACUCUUGCCUACAACAACCAUGAGAAUCUUUCACUAGUUUUGGUAGACUAGAAAACUGAAAAAACGGGGCUUAAUGUAGUUUCAAUAAAAUCUUGUAGUGAUUUUAAGGACCCUUUUGAUUGGAAGCGCUUCAUAGAAGUCUUGAAAGAUGAUGUUGAGAUAGUGGAGUUCCUCUCACAUUUAAGUGUAAAAAUGUUACAUAUUGCAGAUGGCUAUGAUAUUCUAGUUUGGGGAUAUUUGGAUUAUAGUCCAUCUACAGUAGGAGACCCAUCAAAUGGAUAAUUUGGAUGGGAACUGAGACCUGAUUAAACUAGGUGAUUUGUGAGACUUUUUUCUAUUUGGUGUAUAUGGAUUGUUUGAUCUGAUAACAAAGAGUGGCCCAUAUCUUGAAGGCAAAAUUUUCCACUAAAAACAUCUCAUUACUGUAUUUUGAGGUUAUUUUUUCAUUGUAUCCAUAUUCUCCUGACAUUCUUCACUAUUGUAUUUAGAGAAGAUAAAUUUCUUAUACGUUUCUCUCUAACUCUGAGAUUGAUGGUUAUAGAGUAGUGUAGAAUGUGGUUGUCCCAUUUGACAGCUGUAGAUGCGGCCGUUACGAACUUUAUGUAGGCCUUUGUACUGCUACAUAUAUCUUCAUUAUUUAAGUAAGCUCUAAUCCAGUCAUGUGUAUAACUGCAUGAUGAUGGAGCCACAAAUCACUUCUAAUAUCCAGCCAUCACUUCUGUUGAUUUUUUCAUUACAACUUUCAUUGAUAUCUACGAGCAUGGUUUGGACUGCAGUUUGUCUGUCAAAGCUUGAGUUCUGAGGUUGCGGUGGAAUGAAAUGUCAGGUUUCUUUUGGGAAAAAGUUCCAUUCAUUUUUUGGGAAAUGGUGGAAAAGGAAAUUGAUUUCCACACAUAUUUUUGCUUUUGCAAUCACAAGAAAACAUCACAUCUAUGGAAAUUGAUUUCAUUUCCACUAUUUUCUAGAGUUCUCCACCAAUCCAAACUGUUGGAAGGAAUAGAAAAAGCAGCAUGGUAAAAGGGUGGUGAUGUCAAAAUGGCAGAUGCCACAACGUCAAAGACUGAAAAGAAGGUGGUAAUUUUCUUGACUAUGUGGCUAUGAUACUUUUUUCAGCUCUAUAUUACAAAACUUGACGGCCAUGUACUAAAUUGAUAGAGCCUAAAACACUUGCAAUGCCUAGUGCCCAGACUUCUAGAUCAAAAACCCUAUUUGUUGGCAACCUAUCCUAUUAUGUCGAAACAGCUGAUGUGUAAUUAUCAUUUAAUACCAGAGAACUACUCUUGUGACGAGAUUUUAAUUUCUCAAUGUGUAUGGGAAAUAAGAUGGCUACAUCUGAUAAAAUGAGAUAAUUUGCUUCCUU